CAUUUCUCGAACGCUUACUCUUAAGAAAUUGCUUUGAGUUGAAAGAGAUGCCAGAGUGGAUUGGAGAUAUCAUCACACUCCAGUUAAUUCAGUUGGAGUAUUGCUGCGCUUCCCUUGUGGGUUCUGCUUAGAGGAUUAAAAAAGAGCAACAUGACAACUACGGAUAUGAUAUAGAAGUUAAAGACUCCAAUACUCAACGAGAUGAGGACCAUGCUAAAGAAGAAGAUUGUUCCAACGAACAGACCUGUGAAGUUGAAAGCGUCUGCCAUGGUUUGACAAGCCUUUGGUUUGAAGCAAGGAAGCUAAGGAUCAGCUGGGGUCAUAAUCCUACGUAUUGGAUUUGGACUUCUGACUUGGGCACCGAGCAUGAGGUUGCGAAGCUAGAGAAAGUUAGCGCAUUCGAUAUCGGAUUAUCGUUUGACAUUCGGUACUUAUAUAAGAUGAGUUGUUAUUUUGCGUAUCUUGUGUUCAAGCUUGAAGAGAGUGGAACCUUUCAAGAUGUUUAUACAGCAUUGGCAGCUGUGAGAUAUGAGAAGGACAACGCCAGAUACGGCUGGAUG
This is a long non-coding RNA of Ipomoea nil (Japanese morning glory), 560 nucleotides long. RefSeq lists it as uncharacterized. The record is from RefSeq and is a predicted model, not a curated record. Lineage: Eukaryota; Viridiplantae; Streptophyta; Magnoliopsida; Solanales; Convolvulaceae. The transcript is spliced from 4 exons.